RNAcentral lists this ribosomal RNA (503 nucleotides) under uncultured bacterium. Its description in RNAcentral is "partial 16S ribosomal RNA". It matches the Rfam family "Bacterial small subunit ribosomal RNA", at positions 30 to 523 of the family's 1533-position model. The record is from RNAcentral.
AUUGAACGCUGGCGGCAGGCUUAACACAUGCAAGUCGAGCGGGGUGAUGGCGCUUGCACUAUCACUUAGCGGCGGACGGGUGAGUAAUGCCUAGGAAUCUGCCGAUUAGUGGGGGACAACAUCUCGACAGGGAUGCUAAUACCGCAUACGUCCUACGGGAGAAAGCAGGGGAUCACUUGUGACCUUGCGCUAAUAGAUGAGCCUAAGGCGGAUUAGCAAGUUGGUGGGGUAAGGGCCUACCAAGGCGACGAUCUGUAGCGGGUCUGAGAGGAUGAUCCGCCACACUGGGACUGGGACACGGCCCAGACUCCUACGGGAGGCAGCAGUGGGGAAUAUUGGACAAUGGGGGGAACCCUGAUCCAGCCAUGCCGCGUGUGUGAAGAAGGCCUUAUGGUUGUAAAGCACUUUAAGCGAGGAGGAGGCUCUUUUGGUUAAUACCCAAGAUGAGUGGACGUUACUCGCAGAAUAAGCACCGGCUAACACUGUGCCAGCAGCCGCAGUAA